GACGAACGCUGGCGGCGUGCUUAACACAUGCAAGUCGAACGGAAAGGCCCUGCUUUUGUGGGGUGCUCGAGUGGCGAACGGGUGAGUAACACGUGAGUAACCUGCCCUUGACUUUGGGAUAACUUCAGGAAACUGGGGCUAAUACCGGAUAGGAGCUCCUGCUGCAUGGUGGGGGUUGGAAAGUUUCGGCGGUUGGGGAUGGACUCGCGGCUUAUCAGCUUGUUGGUGGGGUAGUGGCUUACCAAGGCUUUGACGGGUAGCCGGCCUGAGAGGGUGACCGGCCACAUUGGGACUGAGAUACGGCCCAGACUCCUCCGGGAGGCAGCAGUGGGGAAUAUUGCACAAUGGGCGGAAGCCUGAUGCAGCAACGCCGCGUGCGGGAUGACGGCCUUCGGGUUGUAAACCGCUUUCGCCUGUGACGAAGCGUGAGUGACGGUAAUGGGUAAAGAAGCACCGGCUAACUACG
RNAcentral lists this ribosomal RNA (466 nucleotides) under uncultured bacterium. RNAcentral's name for it is "partial 16S ribosomal RNA". It matches the Rfam family "Bacterial small subunit ribosomal RNA", at positions 28 to 505 of the family's 1533-position model. The record is from RNAcentral.